CAGUAGCCGCGGGAACACGAAGGGUGCAAGCGUUACUCGGAAUUACUGGGCGUAAAGCGUGCGUAGGUGGUGGUUUAAGUCCGUUGUGAAAGCCCUGGGCUCAACCUGGGAAUUGCAGUGGAUACUGGGUCACUAGAGUGUGGUAGAGGAUAGUGGAAUUUCCGGUGUAGCAGUGAAAUGCGUAGAGAUCAGAAGGAACAUCUGUGGCGAAGGCGACUAUCUGGGCCAACACUGACACUGAGGCACGAAAGCGUGGGGAGCAAACAGGAUUAGAUACCCCCGUAGUCCCUGUCUCUUAUAC
Molecule: ribosomal RNA, 301 nt
Filed under: uncultured bacterium
Lineage: Bacteria
Description: partial 16S ribosomal RNA
Rfam family: Bacterial small subunit ribosomal RNA
Source: RNAcentral